AGAUGAGGCAAGGUUUUUCUUUCAACAACUUAUAUCAGGAGUGAGUUAUUGUCAUUCAAUGCAAAUUUGCCACAGAGAUCUUAAGCUUGAAAACACAUUGUUAGACGGGAGCUCUACACAAUGUCUAAAAAUAUGCGAUUUUGGCUAUUCUAAGUCAGCAGCAUUGCAUUCACAACCAAAAUCUACAGUUGGAACUCCGGCCUAUAUCGCACCAGAAGUCUUAUCAAGAAAAGAAUAUGAUGGAAAGAUAGCAGAUGUUUGGUCUUG
RNAcentral lists this unclassified non-coding RNA (267 nucleotides) under Hevea brasiliensis (rubber tree). Lineage: Eukaryota; Viridiplantae; Streptophyta; Magnoliopsida; Malpighiales; Euphorbiaceae. The record is from RNAcentral.